This is a long non-coding RNA of Dermacentor albipictus, 1027 nucleotides long. RefSeq lists it as uncharacterized. NCBI's taxonomy places the organism in Eukaryota, Metazoa, Arthropoda, Arachnida, Ixodida, Ixodidae. The record is from RefSeq and is a predicted model, not a curated record.
GAGGAGGCGGCUCAUAAGUUGAGUACGCGCCUGAUAAAUUGCGAGUUUUGACUAUUCGCCUACCUGGAUAGUCAUCGUAGAUGAGUUGUCCCGAAAUGUUUGUAAUAGUUAUUGUGGCUAGAUUUCGGUCAAUUUUUUUUCUAUUUCUACGCAUUCACUUCGCAUUUAUUUUUUCGCUAUUGAGAACAUUCUUUUAUCUUUCACGUCCCCCAGCCACCCGACUUCUAUGCGCUCAAGUGGGUCAUGUGCUUGGUUCCCGACAGGAACCAUGACGAGCUCGGGCACGCAGCUUCUCGUUCGAUGUGGCACGCGCAGCAUUUGCCAGGCUUCCGCAUCGUUACCUGAGCUCCUAGUCCGCGGCCGUACGAGUGUAACGAUCCGAGUGUGACGUCACCCAAUGCAGUUGCGAGGACUCCUGCUGCGCUUCCGCGGCGUUCCUGGUUGGGGGCAAGUUUGCGUCGGCGCCGCCACACUGCACUGUUUCCCGACGAGCGACUUUCCUCUACGCUUGUGGCUGCACUGCCAGAAUCUAAACAUGGUUGGCCGCGGGUCGAUAGACACGGCUGAGCAAGUCGCCAUGUGGCGCUUCGCCGAAGAAGACGGGCCAGUCAUUAUUCAAGGCUUCCGGCAAGUCCAUGAGCAGUCCGUGAACGACAGGCGACGUGGCGGGCGUCUUCCGCUCUCUCGGUGCUUCCACGUCGCGCCGUUUUACGGGCUCGAGCACGAAAGCCCACAAGCGCCCGGACCUUUCGCCGUUAAGAGUGUCCCGACCUGCAGCGCCGCUUCCCUGCUCGACGCUGGAGCGCCGCACGCAGCCGCGCGGCGUCGAGGAACUGCAGCGGCCGAGUCUCGGCGACGCGGCCGCGCACAAAGCACCGCGACGCGAGGAGAACGCGCGCCCGUGGAACGGCCGCGCUUGUUGUUCUCGGUGAUGUCGCCUUUCGGUGCCGCCACUUCUGGCGGCUCAAGUUCGAGCGCUUUCUUAGCGAUUUUAGUGCAUUUUUAAUUAAAUAAGGAUUCCACUGUC